This is a long non-coding RNA of Oncorhynchus keta (chum salmon), 787 nucleotides long. RefSeq lists it as uncharacterized. NCBI's taxonomy places the organism in Eukaryota, Metazoa, Chordata, Actinopteri, Salmoniformes, Salmonidae. The record is from RefSeq and is a predicted model, not a curated record. The transcript is spliced from 4 exons.
AGACCAGACAGGUAGGGGGAGAGACCAGACAGGUAGAGGGAGAGACCAGACAGGUAGAGGGAGAGACCAGACAGGUAGGGGGAGAGACCAGACAGGUAGGGGGAGAGACCAGACAGGUAGAGGGAGAGACCAGACAGGUAGAGGGAGAGACCAGACAGGUAGAGGGAGAGACCAGACAGGUAGAGGGAGAGACCAGACAGGUAGAGGGAGAGACCAGACAGGUAGAGGGAGAGACCAGACAGGUAGAGGGAGAGACCAGACAGGUAGAGGGAGAGACCAGACAGGUAGGGGGAGAGACCAGACAGGUAGGGGGAGAGACCAGACAGGUAGGGGGAGAGACCAGACAGGUAGGGGGAGAGACCAGACAGGUAGAGGGAGAGACCAGACAGGUAGAGGGAGAGACCAGACAGGUAGGGGGAGAGACCAGACAGGUAGGGGGAGAGACCAGACAGGUAGGGGGAGAGACCAGACAGGUAGAGGGAGAGACCAGACAGGUAGAGGGAGAGACCAGACAGGUAGGGGGAGAGACCAGACAGGUAGGGGGAGAGACCAGACAGGUAGGGGGAGAGACCAGACAGGUAGAGGGAGAGACCAGACAGGUAGGGGGAGAGACCAGACAGGUAGGGGGAGAGACCAGACAGGUAGGGGGAGAGACCAGACAGGUAGAGGGAGAGACCAGACAGGUAGAGGGAGAGACCAGACAGGUAGGGGGAGAGACCAGACAGGUAGGGGGAGAGACCAGACAGGUAGGGGGAGAGACCAGACAGGUAGGGGGAGAGACCAGACA